RNAcentral lists this long non-coding RNA (1430 nucleotides) under Nicotiana benthamiana. RNAcentral describes it as "long non-coding RNA (NBEN_LNC018867)". Lineage: Eukaryota; Viridiplantae; Streptophyta; Magnoliopsida; Solanales; Solanaceae. The record is from RNAcentral.
UCCUCUGAAUCCCUAAAGCUCUCAAAGCCCUCUCAAACCCUAAACCGUCUCCGGCUAUCUCGCCGGCAUUCAUGGCCGCCCAAGACCUAAAGCUCCUUCACUCGUUCACUCUUCACCUAUCCUGGUCUUUGGGUUCGAAGAUCAAAGCUGUAUUUCAAGGGUGGUUGGACCAGAGGUCCUCCGAUGGGUUUUUGCAGCUGUGUGUGGUCUUUCUCCGACAAGUCUUAAGGCUCUGAGUCCAUUGACGACUCCGGCGAGUCCGUUACAAGCUUUUCUCGCCAUUUCAAGACUUUUUUGUGAAAACCCUAACUUCUCGAGAUUUUUCUCUGUGUUUAUUUUUAUGAUUCUCUCUGAGUCCUAGCUAUUUUAUAAAAGUUUCAUAGUUUUCUCAUCUCUUCUUCGCCUAUUUAUGUUUUCAAGUUGUUCGUCCUUUUAAACCUAGGGUUUUCUAUGACUUUCCAUGAUUUCUCUGGUUUCGUUGCUCUAUUUGCAACUGUGUGUUCUUUUCUAUGUCUUUACUAUGAUUUUUAAGCAUUUUCUACCAUGACUCUAGGGUGUUUUGCUUUACUGUUUACUUUCUAGGGUUUUCAGUUCAUGUAUUCUAUGCUUUCUUCGUGUUGUUUUGCUGUUUGUUCAUCUUCAUCUGUUAUAUUCUUACUCCCUGAUAUGCGGUGGAAAUCCUAGCUCAAAGGGUCCUUUCCAUUGUCUCCGUGUGAAACCCUAGCCGCCUCUGGCUGCUUCCUUGUGUUUUGCCACAUGUUAUUCUAAUUGCUUCCAGUUUUGUAUGUUGAAAUCUAUGCCUCUUUUAUAUUGUCACACUUUCCCUUUUCUGAAACCCUAAUUGAUUUCGUAUAGCUGUUUGGUUCUUUAAUUGAUCCCUAUUUUCUGACUAAGUGCAAAUGGUUGGUAUGUUGUCUCCUUGAUUUCCUGGGUGAUUACUUGCCUUGUGUGUUUUACCCGUGGUUUUCAAAUUCUUUAUAUGAAUGUACCCUAUAUUCUGUGAUUAAUACCUGAUUUUUCUUUUCCAAAAUAGACCAAAGCUUAUUUAUUUCUAGCCGGUUCCUUAAUUAAAGGGAACCUUCUCCUUAAUUGUGUAUGAUUGGUACUGCUGAAUAUUUUCUUGCCUUAAGUGUUACAUCUCUUCCAAACUAUAAAUAGGCCUUCACUUCUUCUCACUAACAUAUACACGAGUUCCCUCUACUCUUACUCACUAAUACUUUCUGCUUUUCUCUUUCUUCUCUAUUACUUGCUCUCUAUUGUUAAGGAAUUGCCGCCUGAAAGCCAAGGCUAAUUACAAGGAUUCUCUUUGCUUUGUUACUCAAGUUUGCACUCGUAGGCUCCUAAUUUGAAUUAUCUGUUUGUUUUCCCCUCUUCUUUGUCUGUUAUGUUAUUUCAACUUAAGCUCUUGUAUGUUCAAUCCCUUCCCCUUG